CCUACGGGAGGCAGCAGUGAGGAAUAUUGGUCAAUGGACGAGAGUCUGAACCAGCCAAGUAGCGUGAAGGAUGACUGCCCUAUGGGUUGUAAACUUCUUUUAUAAAGGACUAAAACGAGGCACGUGUGCCUUUUUGCAUGUACUUUAUGAAUAAGGAUCGGCUAACUCCGUGCCAGCAGCCGCGGUAAUACGGAGGAUCCGAGCGUUAUCCGGAUUUAUUGGGUUUAAAGGGAGCGUAGAUGGGUUGUUAAGUCAGUUGUGAAAGUUUGCGGCUCAACCGUAAAAUUGCAAUUGAUACUGGCAGUCUUGAGUACAGUUGAGGUAGGCGGAAUUCGUGGUGUAGCGGUGAAAUGCUUAGAUAUCACGAAGAACCCCGAUUGCGAAGGCAGCUUACGAAACUGCGACUGACAUUGAUGCUCGAAAGUGUGGAUAUCAAACAGGAUUAGAUACCCUUGUAGUC
This 460-nucleotide ribosomal RNA is filed under the name uncultured bacterium. RNAcentral's name for it is "partial 16S ribosomal RNA". It matches the Rfam family "Bacterial small subunit ribosomal RNA", at positions 338 to 795 of the family's 1533-position model. The record is from RNAcentral.